GGGGCGGUAGUAUAGCCUGGUAGUAUUUCAGGUUUGGGACCUGACGACCGCGGUUCAAAUCCGCGCCGUCCCA
RNAcentral lists this transfer RNA (73 nucleotides) under archaeon. RNAcentral describes it as "tRNA-Pro". It matches the Rfam family "tRNA". Rfam says of the family: Transfer RNA (tRNA) molecules are approximately 80 nucleotides in length. Their secondary structure includes four short double-helical elements and three loops (D, anti-codon, and T loops). The record is from RNAcentral.